RNAcentral lists this ribosomal RNA (437 nucleotides) under uncultured bacterium. Its description in RNAcentral is "bacterial SSU rRNA". It matches the Rfam family "Bacterial small subunit ribosomal RNA", at positions 1105 to 1495 of the family's 1533-position model. The record is from RNAcentral.
UUGUCCUUAGUACCAGCAUUCAGUUGGGCACUCUAAGGAGACUGCCGGUGACAAACCGGAGGAAGGUGGGGAUGACGUCAAAUCAUCAUGCCCCUUAUGACCUGGGCUACACACGUGCUACAAUGGAUAGAACAAAGGGCAGCGAAGCCGCGAGGUCAAGCAAAUCCCAUAAAUCUAUUCUCAGUUCGGAUUGCAGGCUGCAACUCGCCUGCAUGAAGCCGGAAUCGCUAGUAAUCGCGGAUCAGCAUGCCGCGGUGAAUACGUUCCCGGGCCUUGUACACACCGCCCGUCACACCACGAGAGUUUGUAACACCCGAAGUCGGUGGGGUAACCUGGGGCAAAACUUAACCUCUUAUUGUAUUUAUAGGAAGUUAAGUUUUGCCCUAGGGGCCAGCCGCCUAAGGUGGGACAGAUGAUUGGGGUGAAGUCGUAACAAG